RNAcentral lists this ribosomal RNA (371 nucleotides) under uncultured organism. Its description in RNAcentral is "bacterial SSU rRNA". It matches the Rfam family "Bacterial small subunit ribosomal RNA", at positions 526 to 896 of the family's 1533-position model. The record is from RNAcentral.
CAGAGGGUGCGAGCGUUAAUCGGAUUUACUGGGCGUAAAGCGUGUGUAGGCGGUUUGUUAAGUCGGGUGUGAAAUCCCUGGGCUCAACCUGGGAAUUGCAUUCGAUACUGGCAGGCUAGAGUACGGUAGAGGGCGGCGGAAUUCCGGGUGUAGCGGUGAAAUGCGUAGAUAUCCGGAGGAACACCGAUGGCGAAGGCAACCGCCUGGGCCUGUACUGACGCUGAGACACGAAAGCGUGGGGAGCAAACAGGAUUAGAUACCCUGGUAGUCCACGCCGUAAACGAUGAGAACUUGACGUCGGUUUGCUCUGCGAAUCGGUGUCGAAGCUAACGCGCUAAGUUCUCCGCCUGGGGAGUACGGCCGCAAGGUUG